Molecule: ribosomal RNA, 1260 nt
Filed under: Bacillus halotolerans
Lineage: Bacteria; Bacillati; Bacillota; Bacilli; Caryophanales; Bacillaceae
Description: bacterial SSU rRNA
Rfam family: Bacterial small subunit ribosomal RNA
Source: RNAcentral
GGCGGACGGGUGAGUAACACGUGGGUAACCUGCCUGUAAGACUGGGAUAACUCCGGGAAACCGGGGCUAAUACCGGAUGCUUGUUUGAACCGCAUGGUUCAAACAUAAAAGGUGGCUUCGGCUACCACUUACAGAUGGACCCGCGGCGCAUUAGCUAGUUGGUGAGGUAAUGGCUCACCAAGGCAACGAUGCGUAGCCGACCUGAGAGGGUGAUCGGCCACACUGGGACUGAGACACGGCCCAGACUCCUACGGGAGGCAGCAGUAGGGAAUCUUCCGCAAUGGACGAAAGUCUGACGGAGCAACGCCGCGUGAGUGAUGAAGGUUUUCGGAUCGUAAAGCUCUGUUGUUAGGGAAGAACAAGUACCGUUCGAAUAGGGCGGUACCUUGACGGUACCUAACCAGAAAGCCACGGCUAACUACGUGCCAGCAGCCGCGGUAAUACGUAGGUGGCAAGCGUUGUCCGGAAUUAUUGGGCGUAAAGGGCUCGCAGGCGGUUUCUUAAGUCUGAUGUGAAAGCCCCCGGCUCAACCGGGGAGGGUCAUUGGAAACUGGGGAACUUGAGUGCAGAAGAGGAGAGUGGAAUUCCACGUGUAGCGGUGAUAUGCGUAGAGAUGUGGAGGAACACCAGUGGCGAAGGCGACUCUCUGGUCUGUAACUGACGCUGAGGAGCGAAAGCGUGGGGAGCGAACAGGAUUAGAUACCCUGGUAGUCCACGCCGUAAACGAUGAGUGCUAAGUGUUAGGGGGUUUCCGCCCCUUAGUGCUGCAGCUAACGCAUUAAGCACUCCGCCUGGGGAGUACGGUCGCAAGACUGAAACUCAAAGGAAUUGACGGGGGCCCGCACAAGCGGUGGAGCAUGUGGUUUAAUUCGAAGCAACGCGAAGAACCUUACCAGGUCUUGACAUCCUCUGACAAUCCUAGAGAUAGGACGUCCCCUUCGGGGGCAGAGUGACAGGUGGUGCAUGGUUGUCGUCAGCUCGUGUCGUGAGAUGUUGGGUUAAGUCCCGCAACGAGCGCAACCCUUGAUCUUAGUUGCCAGCAUUCAGUUGGGCACUCUAAGGUGACUGCCGGUGACAAACCGGAGGAAGGUGGGGAUGACGUCAAAUCAUCAUGCCCCUUAUGACCUGGGCUACACACGUGCUACAAUGGACAGAACAAAGGGCAGCGAAACCGCGAGGUUAAGCCAAUCCCACAAAUCUGUUCUCAGUUCGGAUCGCAGUCUGCAACUCGACUGCGUGAAGCUGGAAUCGCUAGUAAUC